AAGAAAGUGGCAGAGUGGUUAUGCAGUUGGCUUGAAACCAGCAUACGGGGGUUCAAUUCCCUCCUUUCUCG
This 71-nucleotide transfer RNA is filed under the name Acanthurus nigricans (whitecheek surgeonfish). RNAcentral describes it as "tRNA-Ser". It matches the Rfam family "tRNA". From Rfam's summary of the family: Transfer RNA (tRNA) molecules are approximately 80 nucleotides in length. Their secondary structure includes four short double-helical elements and three loops (D, anti-codon, and T loops). Lineage: Eukaryota; Metazoa; Chordata; Actinopteri; Acanthuriformes; Acanthuridae. The record is from RNAcentral. RNAcentral also lists the same sequence under 3 other names.